Molecule: transfer RNA, 43 nt
Filed under: Stygamoeba regulata
Lineage: Eukaryota; Discosea; Stygamoebida
Description: partial Selenocysteine transfer RNA
Source: RNAcentral
GGCUUCAAAACCGCGGUGGACCAGAUGGCGGCCGUGGGGUUUG